GAGCGAGGCGUAGUGGUUUGAGCGUUGGACUACAAGUCUGGAGGCCAGGGUUCGAAUCCUGGCUCGGCCA
Non-coding RNA from Phrynosoma platyrhinos (Desert horned lizard), 70 nucleotides. The record is from the annotation of a GenBank genome assembly. Lineage: Eukaryota; Metazoa; Chordata; Lepidosauria; Squamata; Phrynosomatidae.